RNAcentral lists this ribosomal RNA (253 nucleotides) under uncultured bacterium. RNAcentral's name for it is "partial 16S ribosomal RNA". It matches the Rfam family "Bacterial small subunit ribosomal RNA", at positions 524 to 776 of the family's 1533-position model. The record is from RNAcentral.
UACGUAGGGGGCUAGCGUUGUCCGGAAUCAUUGGGCGUAAAGCGCGUGUAGGCGGCCCGAUAAGUCCGCUGUGAAAGUCCAGGGCUCAACCCUGGGAUGCCGGUGGAUACUGUCGGGCUCGAGUCCAGAAGAGGCGAGUGGAACUCCUGGUGUAGCGGUGGAAUGCGCAGAUAUCAGGAAGAACACCAACGGCGAAGGCAGCUCGCUGGGACGGAACUGACGCUAAGGCGCGAAAGCGUGGGGAGCGAACAGG